Molecule: long non-coding RNA, 599 nt
Filed under: Brassica napus (rape)
Lineage: Eukaryota; Viridiplantae; Streptophyta; Magnoliopsida; Brassicales; Brassicaceae
Description: long non-coding RNA (BNAP_LNC015995)
Source: RNAcentral
GUCAUAGCCUUAUGGGGGCGUACAUCAACCUAUAACCAAAGUGACAUGGUCCUACAACCUAUACCCAAGCAAAGAAGUUUUGAGUAUUGGAAUGGGGAAUGUACGAGGAGAGAACAAACACGAAAGUUACUCAUACAUAGUAUGUUUGUCAUUUACCCCUGACAAAGAAACUGUAAGUUUAAAUAGGUCUACAAAGUCAAAUACUUGGUUGAUGAUACAGUUAAAAGAUAUUGUGCUCAAUUAGUAGCCAAAGGCUUUACACAAAAAAAAGUCCUAGACUGCAUCAAUACUUAUUUACCAACGAUAAAAAUAGGGCAAAUCUCCAAAAUAGCACAUUUCUAAGUUUAUGUCAAUAAAAUAGCUCUCAAAAACUAAAAUGACUAAAAUAGCAUUUUAUCUUUUGAAAAUUUAAUUUUUUUUUAUUUUUCAAAAUUUGAAAUCUUAUCCCAAAACCUCACUCCCCAACUCUAAACCCUAAACUCUAAACCCUAAACCCUAAAUCCUAAACUCUAAACCCUAAACCCCACCCCUAAACUCUAAACUCUAAACUCUAAACCCUAAACCCUAAACCCUAAAUCCUAAACCCCACCCCUUAACUC